GUGCUGUGAAGUCAGACCGGAAGGACUGGUGGAGCGCUUAGAAGUGAGAAUGCCGGUAUGAGUAGCGAAAGACGGGUGAGAAUCCCGUCCACCGAAUGCCUAAGGUUUCCUGAGGAAGGCUCGUCCGCUCAGGGUUAGUCGGGACCUAAGCCGAGGCCGAAAGGCGUAGGCGAUGGACAACAGGUUGAUAUUCCUGUACCACCUCCUCACCAUUUGAGCAAUGGGGGGACGCAGGAGGAUAGGGUAAGCGCGGUAUUGGAUAUCCGCGUCCAAGCAGUUAGGCUGGGAAAUAGGCAAAUCCGUUUCCCGUGAAGGCUGAGCUGUGAUGGCGAGCGAAAUUUAGUAGCGAAGUUCCUGAUUCCACACUGCCAAGAAAAGCCUCUAGCGAGGUGAGAGGUGCCCGUACCGCAAACCGACACAGGUAGGCGAGGAGAGAAUCCUAAGGUGAUCGAGAGAACUCUCGUUAAGGAACUCGGCAAAAUGACCCCGUAACUUCGGGAGAAGGGGUGCUUCUUAGGGUGUUAAAGCCCCGAGAAGCCGCAGUGAAUAGGCCCAGGCGACUGUUUAGCAAAAACACAGGUCUCUGCGAAGCCGUAAGGCGAAGUAUAGGGGCUGACGCCUGCCCGGUGCUGGAAGGUUAAGAGGAGCGCUUAGCGUAAGCGAAGGUGCGAAUUGAAGCCCCAGUAAACGGCGGCCGUAACUAUAACGGUCCUAAGGUAGCGAAAUUCCUUGUCGGGUAAGUUCCGACCCGCACGAAAGGCGCAACGAUCUGGGCACUGUCUCAACGAGAGACUCGGUGAAAUUAUAGUACCUGUGAAGAUGCAGGUUACCCGCGACAGGACGGAAAGACCCCGUGGAGCUUUACUGCAGCCUGAUAUUGAAUGUUGGUACAGCUUGUACAGGAUAGGUAGGAGCCUUGGAAACCGGAGCGCUAGCUUCGGUGGAGGCAUCGGUGGGAUACUACCCUGGCUGUAUUGACCUUCUAACCCGCUGCCCUUAUCGGGCAGGGAGACAGUGUCAGGUGGGCAGUUUGACUGGGGCGGUCGCCUCCUAAAAUGUAACGGAGGCGCCCAAAGGUUCCCUCAGAAUGGUUGGAAAUCAUUCGCAGAGUGUAAAGGCACAAGGGAGCUUGACUGCGAGACCUACAAGUCGAGCAGGGACGAAAGUCGGGCUUAGUGAUCCGGUGGUUCCGCAUGGAAGGGCCAUCGCUCAACGGAUAAAAGCUACCCCGGGGAUAACAGGCUUAUCUCCCCCAAGAGUCCACAUCGACGGGGAGGUUUGGCACCUCGAUGUCGGCUCAUCGCAUCCUGGGGCUGUAGUCGGUCCCAAGGGUUGGGCUGUUCGCCCAUUAAAGCGGUACGCGAGCUGGGUUCAGAACGUCGUGAGACAGUUCGGUCCCUAUCCGUCGCGGGCGCAGGAAAUUUGAGAGGAGCUGUCCUUAGUACGAGAGGACCGGGAUGGACGCACCGCUGGUGUACCAGUUGUUCUGCCAAGGGCAUCGCUGGGUAGCUAUGUGCGGACGGGAUAAGUGCUGAAAGCAUCUAAGCAUGAAGCCCCCCUCAAGAUGAGAUUUCCCAUUCCGCAAGGAAGUAAGAUCCCUGAAAGAUGAUCAGGUUGAUAGGUCUGAGGUGGAAGCGUGGUGACACGUGGAGCUGACAGAUACUAAUAGAUCGAGGACUUAACCUAUA
RNAcentral lists this ribosomal RNA (1688 nucleotides) under Bacillus pumilus. RNAcentral's name for it is "partial 23S ribosomal RNA". It matches the Rfam family "Bacterial large subunit ribosomal RNA", at positions 1245 to 2925 of the family's 2925-position model. Lineage: Bacteria; Bacillati; Bacillota; Bacilli; Caryophanales; Bacillaceae. The record is from RNAcentral.